This 253-nucleotide ribosomal RNA is filed under the name uncultured Bacteroides sp. Its description in RNAcentral is "partial 16S ribosomal RNA". It matches the Rfam family "Bacterial small subunit ribosomal RNA", at positions 524 to 776 of the family's 1533-position model. Lineage: Bacteria; Pseudomonadati; Bacteroidota; Bacteroidia; Bacteroidales; Bacteroidaceae. The record is from RNAcentral.
UACGGAGGAUGCGAGCGUUAUCCGGAUUUAUUGGGUUUAAAGGGAGCGUAGGUGGAUUGUUAAGUCAGUUGUGAAAGUUUGCGGCUCAACCGUAAAAUUGCAGUUGAAACUGGCAGUCUUGAGUACAGUAGAGGUGGGCGGAAUUCGUGGUGUAGCGGUGAAAUGCGUAGAUAUACGGAGGAACACCAGUGGCGAAGGCGGAUUGCUGGACAGUAACUGACGCUGAGGCGCGAAAGCGUGGGGAGCAAACAGG